UACGAAGGGGGCUAGCGUUGCUCGGAAUCACUGGGCGUAAAGGGUGCGUAGGCGGGUCCUUAAGUCAGGGGUGAAAUCCUGGAGCUCAACUCCAGAACUGCCUUUGAUACUGAAGAUCUUGAGUUCGGGAGAGGUGAGUGGAACUGCGAGUGUAGAGGUGAAAUUCGUAGAUAUUCGCAAGAACACCAGUGGCGAAGGCGGCUCACUGGCCCGAUACUGACGCUGAGGCACGAAAGCGUGGGGAGCAAACAGG
This 253-nucleotide ribosomal RNA is filed under the name uncultured bacterium. RNAcentral describes it as "partial 16S ribosomal RNA". It matches the Rfam family "Bacterial small subunit ribosomal RNA", at positions 524 to 776 of the family's 1533-position model. The record is from RNAcentral.